UACGGAGGAUCCGAGCGUUAUCCGGAUUUAUUGGGUUUAAAGGGUGCUCAGGCGGGGGAUUAAGUCGGCGGUGAAAUUUUGCAGCUCAACUGUAAAAGUGCCUUCGAAACUGGUUUCCUUGAGUGUGGAUGAGGUAGGCGGAAUUUGUGGUGUAGCGGUGAAAUGCAUAGAUAUCACGAGGAACUCCGAUUGCGCAGGCAGCUUACUAAACCAUAACUGACGCUCAAGCACGAAGGCGUGGGGAUCAAACAGGAUUAGAUACCCUGGUAGU
This 271-nucleotide ribosomal RNA is filed under the name uncultured prokaryote. RNAcentral's name for it is "partial 16S ribosomal RNA". It matches the Rfam family "Bacterial small subunit ribosomal RNA", at positions 524 to 794 of the family's 1533-position model. The record is from RNAcentral.